This 301-nucleotide ribosomal RNA is filed under the name uncultured bacterium. RNAcentral's name for it is "partial 16S ribosomal RNA". It matches the Rfam family "Bacterial small subunit ribosomal RNA", at positions 509 to 807 of the family's 1533-position model. The record is from RNAcentral.
CAGCAGCCGCGGUAAGACGAAGGUGGCGAGCGUUGUUCGGAAUCACUGGGCAUAAAGCGCACGUAGGCGGUGACGUAAGUCGGGUGUGAAAUCCCUCGGCCUAACCGAGGAACUGCGCCCGAUACUGCGUUGCUUGAGGAUCAGAGGGGUGCAUGGAAUUUCCGGUGGAGCGGUGAAAUGCGUUGAUAUCGGAAGGAACUCCGGCGGCGAAAGCGAUGCACUGGCUGAUUUCUGACGCUGAGGUGCGAAAGCCAGGGGAGCAAACGGGAUUAGAUACCCCUGUAGUCCCUGUCUCUUAUAC